GCUUGUCUAAAGAUUAAGCCAUGCAUGUCUCAGUAUAAGUUCCUGUACGGCGAAACUGCGAAUGGCUCAUUAAAACAGUUACAGUUUAAUUGAUGGUCGUUCCUUACAUGGAUAACUGUGGUAAUUCUAGAGCUAAUACAUGCAUCCAUACCCAACUUCAUGGAAGGGUUGUGUUUAUUAGAUACAGAACCAACCCAGGCUCGCCUGGUUUUGUGGUGAUUCAUGAUAACUGAAUGAAUCGUAUGGCAUCCGCUGACGAUAAAUCUUUCAAGUUUCUGACCUAUCAGCUU
Molecule: ribosomal RNA, 290 nt
Filed under: uncultured fungus
Lineage: Eukaryota; Fungi
Description: partial small subunit ribosomal RNA
Rfam family: Eukaryotic small subunit ribosomal RNA
Source: RNAcentral